AAGGGAGGUGCCGAAAACCCUGAAAUAGAGUAGGUA
The sequence is a regulatory RNA element, 36 nucleotides long. It matches the Rfam family "DUF805b RNA". From Rfam's summary of the family: Bacteroidetes, Chlorobi (1 example), Proteobacteria. Lineage (Flavobacteria) The record is from Rfam.